AGAAUAAGUAAACGUUUUUUUUUUCUAUUUAUAAAUUUACUCUAAACAGCCCCCCAGAUUAAUGUACCUUAGUCCCUGCUGCAAGUCUGCUCUGGUUCCAGCGUUGUCAGCAGCUUCUUUCCCCUUCUUCCUGGUGCAGAGUGAAGCCCCACCCCUAAGCUUGCUGAGCUCUCCUUAUCUCUCUGACUAGUCGGAGAGAUCAUUUGCAUGCUGUGUCAUAGCAGGGAGGAAGGCAGAGCCAGUGUGUGCAGGAGCUGCUUUUUUUUUUUUCUCCUCACAUGCACUCCCUGCUCGUUCUGGUUCAUUCCAGAUCACAGCAGCACUGGGAGGAAGAGCUGGAAGACUUCUCUGAUACUGCUAAUGCACUGUAGGUCUUUAUUUUUCCCAAGGAUAAUUUUUCAAAAUAGCUGGUAAGUAAUACUGUGGCUGUAAUACUGUGGCUGUAUCUAUAGCCGUCUUUGGGGUAACUACCCGAUCCCAAGUACAGAGUCUCAUCAGGAGCCUCUAACCCUGGCUCCCUCGACCAUUAAUUUGUGCAAGUGCAACAAAAAAAAAGAAAAAAAAUUUCUGGGCUGGUGUCAGAUUUACAAGAUAUAAAAUGCAGUUCCCCUUUAGAUGAUCAGUGACACAACUGUAUAUGUAAGCAUGUGUAUAACAUGGCUAUUGUAUAUUACAGGCAGAAUGGAUUACUUACACAGACACGUGAGUAACUGCUAGCACUUCAGCUGUCAGACUCUCAACCCCAUCAUGCAGGUACAAUCUGCUGUUAAUUCUAAGGAAAGGUAGCACCCUGUGCCCGUUGUCCCUCUGGCAGAAAUUCCCCACUGAUGACCCCGGGCUCUGUGGUAAUUAAUGGCCACAAGUUUGUUGUUAAUAAAACUCCAACUACAUCGAGCCCAAAUUCGCACCCUACGAAGAGUAUUCUCAAAAUAACUACUUGCGCAACCAGUCCCCAGAAUACUACGAGCGGCCGAGGGAGCCCGGGUUAGAAGCUCCUGCUGAGACUCUGUACUUGGGAGCGGAUAGUUACCCCAAAGACGGCUAUAGAUACAGCCACAUUGCUCCGCCGAGCCAAGAAUCUUCUACAAAAGUCCAGGAUCAUGGGAUCUCUCCAAAGGGGCGCAGUCAAUCUCUGCCGCAACUUGUCCAAAGCCACGUUCCCAGGCAGCCUCCCCAGCACUGUGAUUCCUCGUAGCCUUUAAAUUAACCUUUAGUAUAACGUAGACGUAGAGUGUGAAAUUCAGAGAAGAUUUGCAAUUGGUUUUUGAAUUUUAUUAUUUAUGGUUUUUUAGUUAUUUAGCUUUUUAUUCAGAAGCUCUCUAGUUUGCAGUUUCAGCAAUCUGGUUGAUAGGCUCCAAAUUACCCUAGCAACCAUGCAUUAGUUUGAAUAAGUGACUGGAAUAUGAAUAAGAGAGGGUCCAGAUAUAAAGAUGAGUAAUACAAAGUAGGAAUAACAAUACAUUUGUAGCUUUACAGAUCAAAUCCGAAAUUUUACAGAGGAAAUUCAAAGAAGAUUUGUCACUGGGCUUUCAUACACAUGCCGAUAAUCAGUCCAGUCUGGCAGAUUCAGGGAGACUUAGUCGCCUGUCGACUAAUCGCCUCUUCUGCGUGGCGACAAACUCCUCCGAACUCCCUUCCAUAUGCUUGAAUGAAAAAACGCCUGCGCUAAUACACUCGCGGUGCGUCGAUUUCCGAACUUGCCUCACAAGGAAACUUUGGGUGACUUCGGAAAUCGAAGCGACGCGAGUGUAUUAGCGCAGGCGUUUCUUCAUUCAAGCAGACAGAAGGCAGAUGGAAGACGGAAAUGCCUCCCCGCCUGCUAGAGUGUAAAUUGCCUAUGAGUGACACUCUUUAACACUUAGGGUAAGGGCACACGGGUAGAUUUGGGGAGAUUUAGUUGCGUGGUGACUAAUCGCCCCUUCUUCGGGGCGACAAUCUACCCGAACUGCCUUCCCCUAUCUUCCCACUUGCUAUACUAAAAAAAUCGCCAGUGGGAUGCCACUCGCAGUGCUUCAGUUUCCGAAGUUGUCUCACGAGGAAACUUUGGGAGACUUCAGAAAAUGAAGCUCCUUGAGUGCCAUCCCACUGGUGAUUUUUCAGUGUAGCCGGCUGGAACAUAGGGCAAGGCAAGUUGGGGAGAUUGUCGACCCAAAGAAGAGGCAAAUAGUGCCAGGCGACUAAAUCUCCUCGAAUUUGCCCAUGUGCCCUUACCCUUAGUUUCCCGAAGUUGCCUCACUUGGAAACUUCAGUCGACUUUGGAAACUGAAGUGUUCCGAGUGCCAUCCCACAGGCGAUUUACACUCUAGCUGGCGGGGAGGCAGUUUGUGGAGAUUAUUCGCCCGAAGAAAAAACAAUUUGUCAAUGUGUUGUGGAGUUCUACCCUAAAACACCAACCAAUAAAAAUUAAAACCAAUUAGAAAA
Xenopus laevis (African clawed frog) is the source of this 2421-nucleotide long non-coding RNA. RefSeq lists it as uncharacterized. The record is from RefSeq and is a predicted model, not a curated record. The transcript is spliced from 2 exons. Lineage: Eukaryota; Metazoa; Chordata; Amphibia; Anura; Pipidae.